Corapipo altera (White-ruffed manakin) is the source of this 917-nucleotide long non-coding RNA. RefSeq lists it as uncharacterized. The record is from RefSeq and is a predicted model, not a curated record. The transcript is spliced from 3 exons. NCBI's taxonomy places the organism in Eukaryota, Metazoa, Chordata, Aves, Passeriformes, Pipridae.
AUUUAAUCAAUCCUAAAUUUGAAAGCUAUCAGUCACUCUGUGUGCCUAAGGUAGCUUUGUCAUUUUUCAUUUAGUUCUAAUUUGCAUCCCCGUGUUCUGCCCCAAAUCUUGAGAGGGGAAAAUAAUCAGAAUUGUGAUGAAACAUACAUUUUUCAUUUCGCUUUAUUGAAGUUCCUUAUUUUUAUUGAGUUAGGAUUCUUUUGACAGGGGUGGUUGGCUGCACGUCUCUGCUGGUUUAAUGGCCAACCCAGUUCAUCAAAACUAACAAGCUUUAACAAAAAUAAAUAUCAAAUGUGAGUCAUGGUUAAAAGUGGUGUCCUAAGUCAAGUUCUUCUGCUUGAUGGUUGGAAUUGGUGACUGAAGGGUGAUAAAGUGAACAGACUGGUUGCACUGACAGACAUGGGUUUGAAGAGUGGUUGGCUCAGGACACAUGGAUGGAGCUCCACGUCAGCUUCUGUCAUUAAAUGAAGAGGGAAGCUUUCAGACUCACCACUGAGGCUCUGAAUUGGCUUUAAAUGAAAGGUGUUGUGCUUCUGAAGUGCCCUGCCCAAGAGCUCUCCAGCAAUCCAAACAGCCAGCAGACAAAGCCAUUAAACCUGAAGUGCCCGUGCAUGAUUACCUGGCAGAGAGCUGCAGGAGAGGGUUUGCAGCUGAGUCCCGCAGGAACAGGCUUUGUCUGAAAAACAACCCCUGGCAGGUGCAGACUCGGUUGGAAAGAGCCAAGGCUGCUGAUGCCUGUCCUGCAUCUCCCUACCAGCCAUCCAAGGUUUGUCCCGCAGAGGAUCAGACAGAUCAGUGUUUGGGAGCAGGGACUUUGCUGCCACAGAGAUCUCCACACUCCAGUCCUUGCUCUGCAGCCCAGGAGAGAGCCAAAGCAGGUGGGUUUGAAAGACAGAGCAGGAGAAGUGGGAAUCCCU